ACAUAGACCACGAGGUGUGUGAUUUGAAUGAGUGGCUUAUCCUUCCUCUGUCUCUUUGUCUUGCAGGUCGAAUGGAAAUCACAAUUGUACUGGUCUCAUAACAUCGCGGUGAGAGUGAUGUUCAGUAUUGUGUGAAGCUCUUAACACAGUCCACAAUGAGCUUUCAAUGCACAUUUGUUCUAAGUCCCUCAUCCUGGCUUACUGGUUGACGCAAUGAAAGUAAAGGCAAACGUGAGAGUGGAGAGGUCUGUCACGGGAGCUAAGAAAUGGGAGCAGGAGUGGAAGAUUUUCAAAUCCAGCCGAAGAGGAAAUUACUCAUAACCUUUAAGGCUAUGCCACCCUGUGUGAUGACUACAGAGCAAGCUCUCAUAGGCAACAAUAAAGCUCAAGCCAGUACAUUCUCUUCACCCCAGAGAGAGGCUCAGGACCUUGGAGGACCUCUGAAACUCCUGCACGAAGCUGCGGAGCCUCCUUCUUACAGGCAGGAGCGCAGGUCAUCUAUCACCCAGAAGCAGGGUUAUGGAGAGAUGUUUAACGUGGAAAUGACUCUUGUGGGGAGCUGGAAGAAUAAACUUGUCCCUAAGGCGCCGUGUCUCAUUCUGGCUGGGAGAAAGUCAAGCUGAACCAGAAAGGGAGCUGCAGGACAGUUUGUCCUGCUGACAUCACCACCAGGAAGCCCUCCAGCCUUCUGAUGCCGGCACUCCAGCCGCCUCCCACUGGGACUCCCUCCUCAACAGCAGUUCGCAGGGCUUGUCCAGGGGCCCUGGAUGGAAGGUUCUCCCCGCCUGUAGAGGAGGCAGAUAUAUUCUUUAGGCGAAAGGACAGCAGAAUUGUCAAGCCUGGUGGCCAGUAGCGUAUUCCUCUGGGCAAAGGACUCCCAGAGGCAACAUAACCUUAAUGUUGGAGCCACGAAGGCCAACUCACUCCACCAUCUUCAUCACUGGCAGGGAGGUGGCACUAAUCAAGACAGGAUUCUGUAUCUGAUUUAAGCUUUCCUACUUCUCUUCACUUUUACCUGCAUCACCUCUUGUACAAGCUCUCUCUCACCAUGAAUAAAGCUGUAGGAGCCUGGAAAAGACCCCUGAGAGUGAUUACUCAUGCCUGAGCUCACCCCUUGGUAUCCUGCUGGGAGAUGGGCAGUGAGUGGUCAGAGGUCAGCCUCCGGAGUCCCUUGGGCUGGUUGGAACCAUGAGAAGGAGCCUCCCCUUCAGUCCCCAAAGUGGAGUGCAUGAAGCAGCGUCACAGCAGGAUUUGGACCUGAACUUACUCCCCGGGUUCAGGAGGAGUUUUGACAAGACACUGCAUAUCUUUGGAGCAGGUAGUCCCUUCUGUCUCUACAAUCAAAGAAAUUUUUGGCAGCUAUUCCUGUAACACACUAAUGCCCAGGAUCCUAGAUCCACUGUGGUUUUGGUCUCCCUGGUCUCAGCGUGGAUCGCAGAACCCCAGCCUAGAAGCCCUGUCGUGUCUGUCUCUGAACAUGGGCGGUCCAGGGAGGCUGCACCCCUGAAGAGCCCCUGGAGUUGCUGGAGAUGUGUGCGUGCGGUGGGCUGUGGAGAGCACCAGCCUGUUCUGAUCUCUACACAGGGGAGUCGAGGAGAGCUGCUUUAAAAAUCCCCAGUAAAAUUAUCUUGUCUAUUGACUAAACAGGUGAGAGAGGAGAGAAACUGUAGAUUUUCCUUAAGAAACGAUUAUCUCCUCUUUCUCUUUUAUCCCCAGUAAACACUGCCCCAAAUUGGAAGUGAAACGUAUAAUUUGUUGUCCUGCUUGAAAGGUUUCUUAUAACUAUGACUAUGAUACUUGGAUCAGAUUCUAUAAUACUGAACUCCGCUUGGGCUCUACAAGAGCAGAAUUUUGUUAGAAUAAAGGCAUUGUUAUAAAUC
Molecule: long non-coding RNA, 1880 nt
Organism: Capra hircus (goat)
Lineage: Eukaryota; Metazoa; Chordata; Mammalia; Artiodactyla; Bovidae
Source: Ensembl